AGUUUGAUCCUGGCUCAGGAUGAACGCUAGCUACAGGCUUAACACAUGCAAGUCGAGGGGCAGCAUUUUAGUUUGCUUGCNAACUGANGAUGGCGACCGGCGCACGGGUGAGUAACACGUAUCCAACCUACCGAUAACUCCGGGAUAGCCUUUCGAAAGAAAGAUUAAUACCGGAUGGCAUACGAAUAUCGCAUGAUAUUUUUAUUAAAGAAUUUCGGUUAUCGAUGGGGAUGCGUUCCAUUAGUUUGUUGGCGGGGUAACGGCCCACCAAGACUACGAUGGAUAGGGGUUCUGAGAGGAAGGUCCCCCACAUUGGAACUGAGACACGGUCCAAACUCCUACGGGAGGCAGCAGUGAGGAAUAUUGGUCAAUGGGCGAGAGCCUGAACCAGCCAAGUAGCGUGAAGGAUGAAGGCUCUAUGGGUCGUAAACUUCUUUUAUAUGGGAAUAAAGUAUUCCACGUGUGGAAUUUUGUAUGUACCAUAUGAAUAAGGAUCGGCUAACUCCGUGCCAGCAGCCGCGGUAAUACGGAGGAUCCGAGCGUUAUCCGGAUUUAUUGGGUUUAAAGGGAGCGUAGGUGGAUUGUUAAGUCAGUUGUGAAAGUUUGCGGCUCAACCGUAAAAUUGCAGUUGAAACUGGCAGUCUUGAGUACAGUAGAGGUGGGCGGAAUUCGUGGUGUAGCGGUGAAAUGCUUAGAUAUCACGAAGAACUCCGAUUGCGAAGGCAGCUCACUAGACUGUUACUGACACUGAUGCUCGAAAGUGUGGGUAUCAAACAGGAUUAGAUACCCUGGUAGUCCACACAGUAAACGAUGAAUACUCGCUGUUUGCGAUAUACAGUAAGCGGCCAAGCGAAAGCAUUAAGUAUUCCACCUGGGGAGUACGCCGGCAACGGUGAAACUCAAAGGAAUUGACGGGGGCCCGCACAAGCGGAGGAACAUGUGGUUUAAUUCGAUGAUACGCGAGGAACCUUACCCGGGCUUAAAUUGCAACAGAAUAUAUUGGAAACAGUAUAGCCGUAAGGCUGUUGUGAAGGUGCUGCAUGGUUGUCGUCAGCUCGUGCCGUGGGGUGUCGGCUUAAGUGCCAUAACGAGCGCAACCCUUAUCUUUAGUUACUAACAGGUCAUGCUGAGGACUCUAGAGAGACUGCCGUCGUAAGAUGUGAGGAAGGUGG
Molecule: ribosomal RNA, 1172 nt
Filed under: uncultured Bacteroides sp.
Lineage: Bacteria; Pseudomonadati; Bacteroidota; Bacteroidia; Bacteroidales; Bacteroidaceae
Description: bacterial SSU rRNA
Rfam family: Bacterial small subunit ribosomal RNA
Source: RNAcentral